UAAUACGUAGGGUGCGAGCGUUAAUCGGAAUUACUGGGCGUAAAGCGUGCGCAGGCGGAUUGUUAAGCAAGAUGUGAAAUCCCCGGGCUUAACCUGGGAAUGGCAUUUUGAACUGGCAGUCUGGAGUGCGGCAGAGGGGGGUGGAAUUCCACGUGUAGCAGUGAAAUGCGUAGAGAUGUGGAGGAACACCGAUGGCGAAGGCAGCCCCCUGGGCCUGCACUGACGCUCAUGCACGAAAGCGUGGGGAGCAAACAGGAUUAGAUACCCUGGUAGUCCACGCCCUAAACGAUGUCAACUGGCUGUUGGGUGCGUGAGUACUCAGUAGCGAAGCUAACGCGUGAAGUUGACCGCCUGGGGAGUACGGCCGCAAGGUUGAAACUCAAAUGAAUUGACGG
Molecule: ribosomal RNA, 395 nt
Filed under: uncultured bacterium
Lineage: Bacteria
Also listed under: 1 other name
Description: bacterial SSU rRNA
Rfam family: Bacterial small subunit ribosomal RNA
Source: RNAcentral